This is a long non-coding RNA of Haliotis rubra (blacklip abalone), 2408 nucleotides long. RefSeq lists it as uncharacterized. The transcript has 5 exons. The record is from RefSeq and is a predicted model, not a curated record. NCBI's taxonomy places the organism in Eukaryota, Metazoa, Mollusca, Gastropoda, Lepetellida, Haliotidae.
ACUCCCUGACAGAUUGAUUGAAAAAGCCGAACAAUGCAAGUCUAGGGCCAAAACAAUUGUGGCUUUAGAUUUUCGUAAAAAAUGUCAAUAUUAAACAUAAGAACUGAACUUUGUCUUUUCAUACAGUUGUGUUAGUUUUGUAUUUGAUUGGUGUAACAUGGUAGGAUCAGUGCUAGCAUUUCCCAUAAGUCUUCUCUAUAAUCAUUGAAAAGUAAAAUGACUGGAAGUGUUCCUUUGGCUAUUUUCAUUUGGUGCUGCAAUUUGCUGAGUUGCCUCCCUUAGAUGUGUCAGGAAGCUAAGGUCAGUGCUGUGGAUAUGGUUUGCCCUGAAGGUUUCCAGUAAUUUCAGCACCAUACCUGUUGGAUUCACCAAAGUGGUAAAUGUCUCAGACCUUGAUAACUUUGGGUUUUCACCUGAUGCCAUGAUAUAACUGCAACACUGUUCAAAGCUUAGUUGAACCAAACUCACUCACUCAAUCACAUAUCUCCCUUAUUUGUGUUUAGUCAUAUCUAGAUAUAAAUGAUACAACAAGAUUUCAGAUUACCAUAGUGCUUUUAUUGCUUACGAGUAUUGAACCUAUUUGUUGUCUGUUUCCUGAGUUUGGAUGUACAUUGUAUCAUAUUUAAGCAGGAAGAUGUAAUUUUGUACAUAGUAUGUGUUUGCAAUUCUGAUAUGCAUAUAACAAAGAGACCUGUUAGAUUGUUCUUUCCUCAUUGCAACAUUCGUCUGGACAUACAUUGUAUUGUAGUGUGUGUGUAUCCAACAUAAACUGUAUCAUAGUGUUAGUGUAUGCAUAGUGUAUUACCUGAAACACGUCUCCUCAUUGUACUAUUACUAAGCUGCUAGGUAAAUGUUUCAUUACCUGAGACAUGUCUCCAAAGUAUGCUGUUACUGAGCUGCUUGGUAAAUGUUUCAUUACUAAGCUGCUAGGUAAAUGUUUCAUUACCUGAGACAUGUCUCCAAAUUGUGCUGUUACUGAGCUGCUUGGUAAAUGUUUCAUUACUAAGCUGCUAGGUAAAUGUUUCAUUACCUGAGACAUGUCUCCUCAUUGUACUGUUACUGAGCUGCUUGGUAAAUGUUUCAUUACCUGAGACACGUCUCCUCAUUGUACUGUUACUAAGCUGCUUGGUAAAUGUUUCAUUACCUGAGACAUGUCUCCUCAUUGUACUGUUACUGAGCUGCUAGGUAAAUGUUUCAUUACCUGAGACACGUCUCCUCAUUGUACUGUUACUGAGCUGCUAGGUAAAUGUUUCAUUACCUGAGACAUGUCUCCAAAGUAUGCUGUAACUGAGCUGCUUGGUAAAUGUUUCAUUACCUGAGACACGUCUCCUCAUUGUACUGUUACUAAGCUGCUAGGUAAUCUUUUCAUUACUAAGGUGCUUGGUAAAUGUUUCAUUACCUGAGACAUGUCUCCUCAUUGUACUGUUCCUGAGCUGCUAGGUAAAUGUUUCAUUACCUGAGACAUGUCUCCUUAUUGUACUGUUACUGAACUGCCAGUUAAAUGUUUCAUUACCUGGAUGUAUGAUCAACCAGAUUACCAACCCCAUCUCAGUAUGUGCAUGUUCAAGUUUGUAUAUACUCCAUUCUACUGAGCAACUGAGAAGCCUGUACUAAUCUAGGUGAGCUUUAGCCUACCUUCAUAUUAUUGGUUAUGUACAUUUCAGGUAAACACUGUCUGUAUUUACCUUAUCUUCAUAUUGGUUAUGUACAUUUCAGGUAAACACUGUCUGUAUUAACCCUCCCUUCAUAUUGGUUAUGUACAUUUCAGGUAAGCGCAGUCUGUACUUAACCUACCUGAAUAUUGCCAGAAUUUGAAAGUAUGUGUAUUUUAGUUUAACAUUAGUAAGCACUGUUUGUUAAUUUGCUUACCUGAUUAUGUGGAUUUUUUAAAGUCAGUACAUUCUACAAAGCAGCUAUGAAGUAUUCACACAAUGCAUUGAUAAACUUCUUUCAGCUUUGGGUACCCGAGUUGUCAGCAUAUUUUUAGAACACAUUUACCUUACUUGUUCAUUUAUACAAGAAGUUGGUGCCAAAACACAUGUAUUCCAUGAUAACCAAGAAUGGUCACUCUUGCAGAUAAACCCCUGAUUCCUCUGUGUGAACUGUUCAUACCCCGGGACAGUUACCAUGCCCCAGAUGACUAGUGUACAUAGCAAUAAAUUAUGAAACAUUUGUAUACAUAGGGCAUAAUUUCUAUUGCCUGUAAAGACUCAUUGUAUAUAGAGCAUGUAUCCCAUCAUCAAGAUAUUCAUAUUUUCAAACUGAAUCUUUCUAGUUUUUCACAUUAUGUACUUUUAUGAGUGAGUUAUACUCAACAUACUGAGUAUUGUUGGGACUUUUUAUUGACAUGUUUGAUAACAAAUGGUUAUGCAAGUGUUGUGUUCAAAUAAAAACUUUCAACAAUGACA